AUUCCAGCUCCAAUAGCGUAUAUUUAAGUUGUUGCAGUUAAAAAGCUCGUAGUUGGAUUUCGGGCGGCAUUGGCCGGUCCGCCGUUUCGGUGUGCACUGGCCGGCGCCGUCUUCUUGUCGGGGAUGCGGUUCCGGCCUUCGUUGGCUGGGGCGCCGAGCCGGCGUGGUUACUUUGAAAAAAUUAGAGUGUUCAAAGCGGGCUUACGCUUGAAUAUAUUAGCAUGGAAUAACACGAUAGGACUCCGGUUCUAUUUUGUUGGUCUUCGGAACUGGAGUAAUGAUUAAGAGGAACAGUUGGGGGCAUUCGUAUUUCAUUGUCAGAGGUGAAAUUCUUGGAUUUAUGAAAGACGAACUUCUGCGAAAGCAUUUGCCAAGGAUGUUUUCAUCG
Molecule: ribosomal RNA, 388 nt
Filed under: Dolichomastix sp. (in: wasps, ants & bees)
Lineage: Eukaryota; Metazoa; Arthropoda; Insecta; Hymenoptera; Ichneumonidae
Description: Dolichomastix sp. partial small subunit ribosomal RNA
Rfam family: Eukaryotic small subunit ribosomal RNA
Source: RNAcentral